Molecule: long non-coding RNA, 394 nt
Organism: Vombatus ursinus (common wombat)
Lineage: Eukaryota; Metazoa; Chordata; Mammalia; Diprotodontia; Vombatidae
Exons: 3
Source: RefSeq, a predicted model, not a curated record
GUGCCCUCCUGUGCGAGCUUGGAGCCCGAGGGGUUGGGGGGAGACGCCGUGCAAACAACUAGGCGCAAGCGGUAUGCACAAGAUAGAAGAGUUGAUGUGUCUGUUUGAGCCCCAUAUAAUGAUUGCUCACACAAUAAAACUGAAUUGACAAGGAGAGCUGAGGAGAGAGAGAGAGGGCUACGUGACACAAUUCUCAACCAGGCAGUAGUGAAUGGGAACUCUGUUUUUCUCACAGCUCCUGGGUUUGGAGUGUGUCUGUAAUUUGGUUAAAGAUUUCCUAAGUCUGAAAAAAGCUGCAAGCUUUGGGCAUGGGGAACUAGCAGCUGGUGUGGUCAGACCGACUGGAGGACUGAGACUGUCACACCAUGGUGGCUACAAGAUGCCAGGGCCCAAG